Ribosomal RNA from Erinaceus europaeus (western European hedgehog), 110 nucleotides. Lineage: Eukaryota; Metazoa; Chordata; Mammalia; Eulipotyphla; Erinaceidae. The record is from Ensembl.
GUCUAUGGCCAUACCACCCUGAACACACCCGAUCUCAUCUGAUCUCUGAAGCUAAUCAGGGUCAGGCCUGGUUAAUACUUGGAAAGGAGAUAUCACAGUUUCUGUGAGUC